RNAcentral lists this ribosomal RNA (296 nucleotides) under uncultured bacterium. RNAcentral describes it as "partial 16S ribosomal RNA". It matches the Rfam family "Bacterial small subunit ribosomal RNA", at positions 775 to 1067 of the family's 1533-position model. The record is from RNAcentral.
GGAUUAGAUACCCUGGUAGUCCACGCCGUAAACGAUGGGUACUAGUUGGUGCGGGUAUUGACCCCUGCGCUGACGCAGCUAACGCAUUAAGUACCCCGCCUGGGGAGUACGGCCGCAAGGCUAAAACUCAAAGGAAUUGACGGGGGCCCGCACAAGCGGUGGAGCAUGUGGAUUAAUUCGAAGCAACGCGAAGAACCUUACCUAGCCUUGACAUCCUUGGAACUCGCCCGAAAAGGCGAGGUGCUCUUCGGAGAAUCAAGUGACAGGUGCUGCAUGGCUGUCGUCAGCUCGUGUUG